This 253-nucleotide ribosomal RNA is filed under the name uncultured bacterium. RNAcentral's name for it is "partial 16S ribosomal RNA". It matches the Rfam family "Bacterial small subunit ribosomal RNA", at positions 524 to 776 of the family's 1533-position model. The record is from RNAcentral.
UACGUAGGUGACCAGCGUUGUCCGGAUUUACUGGGCGUAAAGAGCGCGCAGGCGGUCGUUCAAGUCGAGUGUGAAAGCCCCCGGCUCAACUGGGGAGGGUCACUCGAUACUGAUCGACUUGAAGGCAGGAGAGGGAAGCGGAAUUCCCGGUGUAGUGGUAAAAUGCGUAGAUAUCGGGAGGAACACCAGUGGCGAAGGCGACUUCCUGGCCUGUUCUUGACGCUGAGGCGCGAAAGCUAGGGGAGCAAACGGG